UAAAGUUUAAUUUUAGCUUAAAAAUUUAAUUUAAUUUUUAUUUAUAUGUAAAUUUUAGUGGUGUAAUAUUUUUAAAUAAAAUAAAAAGUAACUUGCAGUAGAAAAUUUUAAUUAUAAAAUGAUUUUUGAAUUAGGAAUAAUUACAAUAUAAAUUAAAUUUGUGCCAGCAAUAGCGGUUAUACAAAUUAUAUGAUUAAAUUUUUUUAGUAAUAAUUAAUUUGGCAGGAAGAUUAAAUAUUUGAAUUUUAAGGUGAAAUUUAAAUUUAAAGAAUUUUUUAUUAUAAGAAUUUAGUUAGUUUUUAAUUUAAGACUAGGAUUAGAUACCCUAUUAUAAAAAAUAAUUUUUAUUCCUAAGUUAGUAGCUAUUAUAAUUGUGAAAAUUAAAAAUUUUGGCGGUAUUUUAUUCUUUUCAGAGGAACCUGUUCUGUAAUUGAUAUUUCACGAUAAGUUUAACUUUUAUUAAAUUUACAUAUCGUUGUAAGAAAGUAUUUUUGAAGAAUUUUAAUAUUUAAGAUUUUUAUAAGAAAAUAAAUCAGAUCAAGAUGUAGUUAUAUAAAAGAAGAAAUGGGUUACAUUAAAUUUAUUUAAAUGAAUUAUGAAUUUAAAGUUUUUAUGAAGGUGGAUUUGAAAGUAAUUAUAAUUAUUAAUUAAAAUGAUUGAGUUUUAAAAUAUGUACAUAUUGCCCGUCGCUUUCAUAAAAAAUGAAAUAAGUCGUAACAAAGUAGAUGUACUGGAAAGUGUUUCUAGAAUGAUC
RNAcentral lists this non-coding RNA (754 nucleotides) under Anthribidae sp. 6 ACP-2013. Lineage: Eukaryota; Metazoa; Arthropoda; Insecta; Coleoptera; Anthribidae. The record is from RNAcentral.